CUGGCGGCGUGCUUAAUACAUGCAAGUCAACUUGACUUUAGAUAGCAAUAUCGAAAAGUAGGGUGGCGCACGGGUGCGUAACGCGUAGGUAAUCUGCCAUGAGGUCUGACAUAACCCGUCGAAAGGCGGGCUAACAUCAGAUGAUAUAUAAUCACGACAUCGUGGAAAUAUCAAAUCUUCGGAGCCUUGGGAUGAGCCUGCGUCUGAUUAGGUAGUUGGCGGAGUAAUAGCCCACCAAGCCUACGAUCAGUAGCUGGUCUGAGAGGAUGAUCAGCCACACUGGAACUGAGACACGGUCCAGACUCCUACGGGAGGCAGCAGUAAGGAAUAUUGCUCAAUGGGGGGAAACCCUGAAGCAGCAACGCCGCGUGAAGGAUGAAAUACUUUGUAUGUAAACUUCUGUAAGAUGGGAAAAUAUUCUCCUCGGGAGAAUUGAUUGUACCAUCAGAGUAAGCCCCGGCUAACUACGUG
RNAcentral lists this ribosomal RNA (471 nucleotides) under uncultured bacterium. RNAcentral describes it as "bacterial SSU rRNA". It matches the Rfam family "Bacterial small subunit ribosomal RNA", at positions 36 to 507 of the family's 1533-position model. The record is from RNAcentral.